RNAcentral lists this ribosomal RNA (460 nucleotides) under uncultured bacterium. RNAcentral's name for it is "partial 16S ribosomal RNA". It matches the Rfam family "Bacterial small subunit ribosomal RNA", at positions 338 to 795 of the family's 1533-position model. The record is from RNAcentral.
CCUACGGGGGGCAGCAGUGAGGAAUAUUGGUCAAUGGACGAGAGUCUGAACCAGCCAAGUAGCGUGCAGGAUGACUGCCCUACGGGUCGUAAACUGCUUUUAUACGGGAAUAACACGCGCCACGUGUGCCUGUCUGCAUGUACUUUACGAAUAAGGGCCGGCUAAUUCCGUGCCAGCAGCCGCGGUAAUACGGAGGGCCCGAGCGUUAUCCGGAUUCAUUGGGCUUAAAGGGAGCGUAGACGGGUUGUUAAGUCAGUCGUGAAAUUUCGGGGCUCAACCGGAGAACUGCAGUUGAUACUGGCAGUCUUGAGUACAGUUGAGGCAGGCGGAAUUCGUGGUGUAGCGGUGAAAUGCAUAGAUAUCACGAGGAACCCCGAUUGCGAAGGCAGCUUACCAGGCUGUGACUGACAUUGAUGCUCGAAGGUGCGGGUAUCAAACAGGAUUAGAUACCCGAGUAGUC